This is a non-coding RNA of Phrynosoma platyrhinos (Desert horned lizard), 71 nucleotides long. NCBI's taxonomy places the organism in Eukaryota, Metazoa, Chordata, Lepidosauria, Squamata, Phrynosomatidae. The record is from the annotation of a GenBank genome assembly.
GCCAGUGUGGCAUAGUGGUUUGAGCGCUUGACUAUGACUUUCGAGACCAGGAUUCAAUUCCCAGCUUGACC